Molecule: ribosomal RNA, 1388 nt
Filed under: Henrica melaspora
Lineage: Eukaryota; Fungi; Ascomycota; Eurotiomycetes; Verrucariales; Verrucariaceae
Description: partial 28S large subunit ribosomal RNA
Rfam family: Eukaryotic large subunit ribosomal RNA
Source: RNAcentral
AUAUCAAUAAGCGGAGGAAAAGAAACCAACUGGGAUUGCCUCAGUAACGGCGAGUGAAGCGGCAACAGCUCAAAUUUGAAAUCUGGCCCCCCUGGGGGUCCGAGUUGUAAUUUGUAGAGGAUGCUUCGGGCAAGGCUGUGGUCUAAUUUGCUUGGAACAGCGAGUCAGAGAGGGUGAGAGUCCCGUCUAGGAUCGCAAGCCGCGUCCAUGUGAAGCUCCUUCGACGAGUCGAGUUGUUUGGGAAUGCAGCUCUAAAUGGGUGGUAAAUUUCAUCUAAAGCUAAAUAUUGGCCAGAGACCGAUAGCGCACAAGUAGAGUGAUCGAAAGAUGAAAAGCACUUUGAAAAGAGAGUUAAACAGUAUGUGAAAUUGUUGAAAGGGAAGCGCUUGCAAUCAGACUUGAGCGUGACGGUUCCCCCGGCCCCCUGGCCGGGCUACUCCGUCAUGUCCAGGCCAGCAUCGGUUCGGGUGGUUGGUUAAAGACCCCGGGAAUGUAUCUACCUCCGGGUCGACUUAUAGCCCGGGGUGCAAUGCGGCCUACCCGGACCGAGGAACGCGCUCCGGCUCGGAUGCUGGCGUAAUGGUUGUAAGCGGCCCGUCUUGAAACACGGACCAAGGAGUCUAACAUCUAUGCGAGUGUUUGGGUGUCAAACCCCUACGCGUAAUGAAAGUGAACGGAGGUAAGAACCCCUCACGGGGCGCAUUAUCGACCGAUCCUGAUGUCUUCGGAUGGAUUUGAGUAAGAGCAUAGCUGUUGGGACCCGAAAGAUGGUGAACUAUGCCUGAAUAGGGUGAAGCCAGAGGAAACUCUGGUGGAGGCUCGCAGCGGUUCUGACGUGCAAAUCGAUCGUCAAAUUUGGGCAUAGGGGCGAAAGACUAAUCGAACCAUCUGGUAGCUGGUUCCUGUCGAAGUUUCCCUCAGGAUAGCAGUAACGUUUUCAGUUUUAUGAGGUAAAGCGAAUGAUUAGAGGCCUUGGGGUUGAAACAACCUUAACCUAUUCUCAAACUUUAAAUAUGUAAGAAGUCCUUGUUACUUAAUUGAACGUGGACAUUUGAAUGUAUCGUUACUAGUGGGCCAUUUUUGGUAAGCAGAACUGGCGAUGCGGGAUGAACCGAACGUGAGGUUAAGGUGCCGGAAUGUACGCUCAUCAGACACCACAAAAGGUGUCAAUGCAUCCAGACAGCCGGACGGUGGCCAUGGAAGUCGGAAUCCGCUUAGGAGUGUGUAACAACUCACCGGCCGAAUGCAUUGGCCCUGAAAAUGGAUGGCGCUUAAGCGUGCUACCUAUACCUCGCCGUUGGGGUUGAAAUGAUGCCCCAACGAGUAGGCAGGCGUGGGGGUUUGUGACGAAGCCUCGGGGGUGACCCUGGGUCGAACAACCUCUAGUG